RNAcentral lists this ribosomal RNA (471 nucleotides) under Rhabdophis chiwen. Its description in RNAcentral is "partial 16S ribosomal RNA". It matches the Rfam family "Bacterial large subunit ribosomal RNA", at positions 1861 to 2604 of the family's 2925-position model. Lineage: Eukaryota; Metazoa; Chordata; Lepidosauria; Squamata; Natricidae. The record is from RNAcentral.
GCCCAGUGAACAAUUAAACGGCCGCGGUACCCUAACCGUGCAAAGGUAGCAUAAUCAUUUGUCUAUUAACUGUAGACCUGUAUGAAAGGCAAAAUGAGGGUUUAACUGUCUCUUAUAAUAAAUCUAUUAAACUGAUCCCCCAGUAAAAAAGCUGGGAUACUCCCAUAAGACCAGAAGACCCUGUGAAGCUUUAACUAAACUAUUAAACUAAAUAAUAACUACUUUAGGUUGGGGCGACCUUGGAAAUAAAAAGAACUUCCAACAUAACAAAUAAUCAUUAAGGCCCACAAGCCAAUUAACGACCCAGUAAUACUGAUAAUUGAACUAAGUUACUCCAGGGAUAACAGCGCCAUCUUCUUCAAGAGCCCAUAUCAAAAAGAAGGUUUACGACCUCGAUGUUGGAUCAGGACACCCCAAUGGUGCAACCGCUAUUAAAGGUUCGUUUGUUCAACGAUUAAUGUCCUACGUGAU